This 445-nucleotide ribosomal RNA is filed under the name uncultured soil bacterium. RNAcentral describes it as "bacterial SSU rRNA". It matches the Rfam family "Bacterial small subunit ribosomal RNA", at positions 26 to 518 of the family's 1533-position model. The record is from RNAcentral.
AGAACGAACGCUGGCGGCAUGCCUAAUACAUGCAAGUCGAACGAGCACUUCGGUGUUAGUGGCGCACGGGUGCGUAACGCGUGGGAAUCUGCCCUUGGGUUCGGAAUAACAGUUGGAAACGACUGCUAAUACCGGAUGAUGACGAAAGUCCAAAGAUUUAUCGCCAAGGGAUGAGCCCGCGUAGGAUUAGCUAGUUGGUGAGGUAAAGGCUCACCAAGGCGACGAUCCUUAGCUGGUCUGAGAGGAUGAUCAGCCACACUGGGACUGAGACACGGCCCAGACUCCUACGGGAGGCAGCAGUAGGGAAUAUUGGACAAUGGGCGAAAGCCUGAUCCAGCAAUGCCGCGUGAGUGAUGAAGGCCUUAGGGUUGUAAAGCUCUUUUACCCGAGAUGAUAAUGACAGUAUCGGAGAAUAAGCCCCGGAUAACUCCGCGCCAGCAGCCGC